GAUGAACGCUGGCGGCGUGCCUAAUACAUGCAAGUCGAGCGAACAGACGAGGAGCUUGCUCCUCUGACGUUAGCGGCGGACGGGUGAGUAACACGUGGAUAACCUACCUAUAAGACUGGGAUAACUUCGGGAAACCGGAGCUAAUACCGGAUAAUAUAUUGAACCGCAUGGUUCAAUAGUGAAAGACGGUUUUGCUGUCACUUAUAGAUGGAUCCGCGCCGCAUUAGCUAGUUGGUAAGGUAACGGCUUACCAAGGCAACGAUGCGUAGCCGACCUGAGAGGGGGAGCGGCCACACUGGAACUGGGACGCGGUCCAGACUCCUACGGGAGGCAGCAGUAGGGAAUCUUCCGCAAUGGGCGAAAGCCUGACGGAGCAACGCCGCGUGAGUGAUGAAGGUCUUCGGAUCGUAAAACUCUGUUAUGAGGGAAGAACAAAUGUGUAAGUAACUAUGCACGUCUUGACGGUACCUAAUCAGAAAGCCACGGCUAACUACGUG
RNAcentral lists this ribosomal RNA (497 nucleotides) under uncultured bacterium. RNAcentral's name for it is "partial 16S ribosomal RNA". It matches the Rfam family "Bacterial small subunit ribosomal RNA", at positions 28 to 507 of the family's 1533-position model. The record is from RNAcentral.